This is a small nuclear RNA of Cricetulus griseus (Chinese hamster), 191 nucleotides long. Its record names the gene U2. It matches the Rfam family "U2 spliceosomal RNA". Rfam says of the family: U2 is a small nuclear RNA (snRNA) component of the spliceosome (involved in pre-mRNA splicing). Complementary binding between U2 snRNA (in an area lying towards the 5' end but 3' to hairpin I) and the branchpoint sequence (BPS) of the intron results the bulging out of an unpaired adenosine, on the BPS, which initiates a nucleophilic attack at the intronic 5' splice site, thus starting the first of two transesterification reactions that mediate splicing. Lineage: Eukaryota; Metazoa; Chordata; Mammalia; Rodentia; Cricetidae. The record is from Ensembl.
AUCCCUUCUCGACCUUUUGUCUAAGAUCAAGUGUACUAUCUGUUUUUAUCAGUUUCAUACCUGAUAUGUCCUCUCUCCAAGGACAAUAUAUUAAAUGGAUUCCUGGAAGUAGGACUUGGAAUAGGAGCUAGCUCUGUCCGCUCCAUGAAUUGACCUGGUAUUGCAGCACCUCCAGGAACAGUGCACCAAAA